This 321-nucleotide ribosomal RNA is filed under the name uncultured Erysipelotrichaceae bacterium. Its description in RNAcentral is "partial 16S ribosomal RNA". The record is from RNAcentral. Lineage: Bacteria; Bacillati; Bacillota; Erysipelotrichia; Erysipelotrichales; Erysipelotrichaceae.
GGAGUCUGGGCCGUGUCUCAGUCCCAAUGUGGCCGUUCACCCUCUCAGGCCGGCUACGCAUCAUCGCCUUGGUGAGCCGUUACCUCACCAACAAGCUAAUGCGCCGUAAGUCCAUCCUAUAGCGAUGCAAACGCACCUUUAAUAAUUCGAAGAUGCCUUCAAAUUACCUAUGGGGUAUUAAUAGUCGUUUCCAACUGCUAUCCCCCACUUCAGGGCAGGUUACCUACGUAUUACUCACCCGUUCGCCACUCAUCCACUUCUAGCAAGCUAGAAGCUUCAGCGUUCGACUUGCAUGUAUUAAGCACGCCGCCAGCGUUCAUC